This 322-nucleotide RNase P RNA is filed under the name Erysipelotrichaceae bacterium. RNAcentral's name for it is "RNase P RNA component class B". It matches the Rfam family "Bacterial RNase P class B". Rfam says of the family: Ribonuclease P (RNase P) is a ubiquitous endoribonuclease, found in archaea, bacteria and eukarya as well as chloroplasts and mitochondria. The record is from RNAcentral. Lineage: Bacteria; Bacillati; Bacillota; Erysipelotrichia; Erysipelotrichales; Erysipelotrichaceae.
AACAUUAGACAAUCGCUGGAAGCAGAGGAAAGUCCAUGCUCGCACAUCCUGUGACGGAUGUAGUGUUUAUGCUGAACGAUAAAGACAAGUUCAGGCAGUAUUUUACUGACGGCUGGCAUAAUUCCUAAGGGAAACUAUGGAAGGAGCCUGUAAAAGUGUCAAAGAGACGAGUCUUAUAGAAAUAUAAGAGUGGAACGUGAUAAACCCCAUAAGCGAGAAACCCAGAAAUAGGUAGGGGAACCCAUAAUAACGAAACGAAGUGAUUUGUGGGGCGUGAAAACGCAGAUAAAUGAUUGUCCAGUACAGAACAUGGCUUAUUUAU